GGCUUACACUUGAUCGCUGAACUUCAGGUAGGUUCUGUUGAAAAAUUCAUGUUACUGAUGCU
Non-coding RNA from Capsicum annuum, 62 nucleotides. The record is from Rfam. Lineage: Eukaryota; Viridiplantae; Streptophyta; Magnoliopsida; Solanales; Solanaceae.